Molecule: ribosomal RNA, 397 nt
Filed under: uncultured bacterium
Lineage: Bacteria
Description: partial 16S ribosomal RNA
Rfam family: Bacterial small subunit ribosomal RNA
Source: RNAcentral
AUACGUAGGGGGCGAGCGUUGUCCGGAAUGAUUGGGCGUAAAGGGCGCGUAGGCGGCGCGGUAAGACUGGAGUGAAAGUCCUGCUUUCAAGGUGGGAAUUGCUUUGGAUACUGCCGCGCUUGAGUGCAGGAGAGGUUAUCGGAAUUCCCGGUGUAGCGGUGAAAUGCGUAGAGAUCGGGAGGAACACCAGUGGCGAAGGCGGGUAACUGGACUGCAACUGACGCUGAGGCGCGAAAGUGUGGGGAGCAAACAGGAUUAGAUACCCUGGUAGUCCACACUGUAAACGAUGAAUGCUAGGUGUAAGAGGUAUCGACCCCUUUUGUGCCGGAGUCAACACAAUAAGCAUUCCGCCUGGGGAGUACGGCCGCAAGGUUGAAACUCAAAUGAAUUGACGGGG